This 466-nucleotide ribosomal RNA is filed under the name uncultured bacterium. RNAcentral describes it as "partial 16S ribosomal RNA". It matches the Rfam family "Bacterial small subunit ribosomal RNA", at positions 28 to 507 of the family's 1533-position model. The record is from RNAcentral.
GACGAACGCUGGCGGCGCGCCUAACACAUGCAAGUCGAACGAGCGAGAGAGAGCUUGCUUUCUCGAGCGAGUGGCGAACGGGUGAGUAACGCGUGAGGAACCUGCCUCAAAGAGGGGGACAACAGUUGGAAACGACUGCUAAUACCGCAUAAGCCCACGGCUCGGCAUCGAGCAGGGGGAAAAGGAGCAAUCCGCUUUGAGAUGGCCUCGCGUCCGAUUAGCUAGUUGGUGAGGUAACGGCCCACCAAGGCGACGAUCGGUAGCCGGACUGAGAGGUUGAACGGCCACAUUGGGACUGCGACACGGCCCAGACUCCUACGGGAGGCAGCAGUGGGGAAUAUUGCACAAUGGGGGUAACCCUGAUGCAGCGACGCUGCGUGGAGGAAGAAGGUCUUCGGAUUGUAAACUCCUGUUGUUGGGGAAGAUAAUGACGGUACCCAACAAGGAAGUGACGGCUAACUACGUG